Molecule: transfer RNA, 89 nt
Filed under: Flintibacter sp.
Lineage: Bacteria; Bacillati; Bacillota; Clostridia; Eubacteriales
Also listed under: 4 other names
Description: tRNA-Ser
Rfam family: tRNA
About the family: Transfer RNA (tRNA) molecules are approximately 80 nucleotides in length. Their secondary structure includes four short double-helical elements and three loops (D, anti-codon, and T loops).
Source: RNAcentral
GCAGCGGUAUCGAAGUGGUCAUAACGGGGCUGACUCGAAAUCAGUUUGCGGGCAACCGCACGAGGGUUCGAAUCCCUCCCGCUGCGCCA